Pyrus x bretschneideri (Chinese white pear) is the source of this 1962-nucleotide RNA transcript. It is a transcript of the gene named basic leucine zipper 23-like, with no coding region annotated. The transcript is spliced from 5 exons. The record is from RefSeq and is a predicted model, not a curated record. NCBI's taxonomy places the organism in Eukaryota, Viridiplantae, Streptophyta, Magnoliopsida, Rosales, Rosaceae.
AAAACAUUCUCUCUGAGAGAGAGGACAUCCGAAGUGAGUCGACUCAGUUUUGAAAGAGAGAGUCCGCGGAACCUCUGAACCACUAGCCAAUCCAUGUCAAUGGUGUGUUCAUCUUUAUCGUAUUUUCUUCCCCUUUCCCACCGCCUCUCUGUUCCCUAGGAUUCCUCCAUUAUUUCCUACCAGCCACAGAACUUCAAUCGCGUUGAGUAGUUCUACUAUUUCAUCAAUUUACCCCUUUGAAUUGUCCCUACUGUUAAUCGUCCGCGCUGGAAAUCUUUGGUUUUCAGCCAAUUCUAAUUGAUUUUGGACUUUGUAUUGUUCAAAUCUUAUCUGGGUCGUGUAAUCGGUAGAUUUCACUCUGUUCGUGUAGAACACGAAUCAAGAAGCUCAAUUUUCCAUCUGGGUUUCUCUGGUUUCAGUCUGUUCAGAUUAUCGGGAGAUUUAGGUGCUUUUUCACUCGAUUGGGGCUUGUUGCUUGUUCGUUGCCCUAAUGGACGACCACGAGGUUGAUUUUUCGAACCAGGAGGUGUUUUCGUCUGCAAACAUGGGCGGUGAACUUGCGAGUAGUUGCUCAAUGGACACCUUCUUUGAUGACCUGCUUAAGGACACUCACGCUUGCACUCACACCCACACUUGCAACCCACCUGGCCCCGAUUACUCCCACACACACACUUGCUUUCAUGUCCACACUAAAAUUGUGUCUUCAGCGAGUGAAGACAAGGCUGAUGAUACUUGUGAGUCUGGUGAAAAGAAAUCAAAGAAGCAGCCUUUGGGUAAUAAGGUAGCAGUUCGUAAGUACCGCGAGAAUAAGAAGGCGCGGGUUAAGUUGUUGGAGGCUGAAGUUGUGAAUUUGAGAGCUGAGAAUCGGCAGUUGGUGAUGAGGUUGCAGGGUCAGCCUGCAUUGGAGGCUGAGAUUGCUAGGCUCAAGUGUUUGCUUGUAGACAUUCGAGGAAGGAUUGAAGGAGAAAUUGGGUCUUUUCCAUAUCAGAAAUCAGUGAAUCCGAGCCUGCCCAAGCCAAAUAUGCCCAAUGCCUUUUUUAUGAAUCCAUGUAAUGUCCAGUGUGAUGAUCAGCUUUACUGCCCUCAUCCAGGGAUGGAUGGGAAAUGUGGAGAUGGUGCAAUGAUGAAUGGGCAGGAUUUUAACGGCUGUGAUUUUGAGAGUCUUCAGUGUUUGGUUAAUCAGGAUGGAGGAGCCAAGGAGCUUCCUGCAUGUGGGCCUGGAAAUGAGGCGUCAAAUGUAAAUUCAUCUGGCACAAGCAAGAGGAAAAGAAGGACUCGAGCCGCAGCAGCAAACUGAAAAAAUCAGUAAGGAAGCAUUGACAUUGUCCUGAAGAGUACAUUUAUCAUCAUGCAAUAAGUAGUUCUUCGAACUGCAGCAUCAGCUUUCGUUCAGAACAUAGAGAGGGUGGCAUGUGAUUCCCUUCAUGUUUCAGUACUAUGAGCUGUGAGCAGUAUAUUGCCCUUUGAGUGAUGCAUCUGCCAUCUGGCCAUUGCGAAGGUCAGUGGAAACCCUAUUUCCACCAUUGGCGUAAAGAUGACAAUGGCAAGGACGGGGAUGUCUGUAGGUUGAUUGCCUGCCUUUCGAUGGUCAGUCAAAUGAUGAAAAGAAUAUGAUUGAUUCGUAAAUGAGGGGAAAGGAUUCAAAGUGAUGGAAAAGAUGAUAUUUUGAGAGUAAUUGCUAGGAAGAAGAUUGUUAGAUUUUUAUUCAUGUUGGUCAUCAUAGAAGGGGAGAUGUUUGGCAUCUUUCCUGACAGGGACAGCAACGGCCUUCGCUUCAGGCUUACCAACUCAAGUCGGAUGAGGCAGUCAACCCAAGUCGGAUGGGAUUAGAUAUUGUCAGUGUCGGAAAUUACUGUGAAGAUGUCCAUCUUUUGUUGGUCGUACAAGGAUAAUUGCUUUGGGGCCAGGUCUUUAGCUUUUGACAAGGGGCCAUGGUUUAUAAAGUAGAUGCUUCAUUUUUCA